UAAGACGAACCUUGCUAACGUUAUUCGGAAUUACUGGGCUUAAAGGGUGCGUAGGCGGUGCAGUAAGUCGGGUGUGAAAUCCCUCAGCUCAACUGAGGAAUUGCGCCCGAAACUACUGUGCUUGAGGAAGAUAGAGGUACGCGGAACUUAGGGUGGAGCGGUGAAAUGCGUUGAUAUCCUAAGGAACACCGGUGGCGAAAGCGGCGUACUGGGUCUUAUCUGACGCUGAGGCACGAAAGCUAGGGUAGCGAACGGGAUUAGAUACCCCGGUAGUCCUAGCCGUAAACUAUGAGCACUUGAUUGGAGGGUCCUCCAUAGCCCUCCAGUCGUAGCGAAAGUGUUAAGUGCUCCGCCUGGGGAGUAUGGUCGCAAGGCUG
Molecule: ribosomal RNA, 377 nt
Filed under: uncultured bacterium
Lineage: Bacteria
Description: bacterial SSU rRNA
Rfam family: Bacterial small subunit ribosomal RNA
Source: RNAcentral